CCUACGGGGGGCUGCAGUGGGGAAUAUUGGGCAAUGGGCGAAAGCCUGACCCAGCGACGCCGCGUGGGUGAUGAAGGCCUUCGGGUUGUAAAGCCCUUUCGUGCGGAAAGAACAGCCCUGAGUUGAAUAUACUCAGGGUUUGACGGUACCGCAGGAAGAAGCACCGGCUAACUCCGUGCCAGCAGCCGCGGUAAUACGGAGGGUGCAAUCGUGGGUCAGGAGUAUUGAGCGGGUAGUGCUAGUCGGCGGUGAAAUCCUCCGGCUCAACUGGAGAACUGCAUCUGAAACUUCACAACUAGAGUACAGGAGAGGGAAACGGAAUUCCCGGUGUAGAGGUGAAAUUCGUAGAUAUCGGGAGGAACACCAGUGGCGAAGGCGGUUUCCUGGCCUGAUACUGACGCUGAGGCGCGAAAGCGUGGGGAGCAAACAGGAUUAGAUACCCCAGUAGUC
RNAcentral lists this ribosomal RNA (450 nucleotides) under uncultured bacterium. RNAcentral describes it as "partial 16S ribosomal RNA". It matches the Rfam family "Bacterial small subunit ribosomal RNA", at positions 338 to 795 of the family's 1533-position model. The record is from RNAcentral.